AUGCAUGUACACAAGGCCGACACAGAUCAAAGUGUAAUAUCUAUUCUUAUCAACCUAAUAUCUAAUACGUGUUGUAUUUGGACCCAAGAUAUUAGACUUAUGUUUCCAAGUUAGCGGAGUGCUGGAAGCCUGCUUCACCUCCGCCGCGGGUCGGCCGCGCAUAGCACUAUAUUUGCGAUGGGGCCAUGUUUUU
Non-coding RNA from Dermacentor andersoni, 193 nucleotides. The record is from RefSeq and is a predicted model, not a curated record. Lineage: Eukaryota; Metazoa; Arthropoda; Arachnida; Ixodida; Ixodidae.